UGGGGAAUAUUGCACAAUGGGCGCAAGCCUGAUGCAGCCAUGCCGCGUGUAUGAAGAAGGCCUUCGGGUUGUAAAGUACUUUCAGCGGGGAGGAAGGCGAUGCGGUUAAUAACCGCGUCGAUUGACGUUACCCGCAGAAGAAGCACCGGCUAACUCCGUGCCAGCAGCCGCGGUAAUACGGAGGGUGCAAGCGUUAAUCGGAAUUACUGGGCGUAAAGCGCACGCAGGCGGUCUGUCAAGUCGGAUGUGAAAUCCCCGGGCUCAACCUGGGAACUGCAUCCGAAAAUGGCAGGCUGGAGUCUGGUAGAGGGGGGUAGAAUUCCAGGGGUAGCGGUGAAAUGCGUAGAGAUCUGGAGGAAUACCGGUGGCGAAGGCGGCCCCCUGGACGAAGACUGACGCUCAGGUGCG
This 408-nucleotide ribosomal RNA is filed under the name uncultured bacterium. RNAcentral describes it as "partial 16S ribosomal RNA". It matches the Rfam family "Bacterial small subunit ribosomal RNA", at positions 355 to 755 of the family's 1533-position model. The record is from RNAcentral.